RNAcentral lists this ribosomal RNA (1089 nucleotides) under Aneurinibacillus aneurinilyticus. RNAcentral describes it as "partial 16S ribosomal RNA". It matches the Rfam family "Bacterial small subunit ribosomal RNA", at positions 32 to 1114 of the family's 1533-position model. Lineage: Bacteria; Bacillati; Bacillota; Bacilli; Caryophanales; Paenibacillaceae. The record is from RNAcentral.
GGGAUUGGCGGCUUUCUAUACUUGCAGUCGAGCGAGUCCCUUCAGUUCUACCGGCGGACAGGUGAGAAACGGUUAGUCUGCAGCCUCUCAAACUGGGUAAACAUAUGAAAAACUUAUGCUAUACCGGAUAGGUUUUUGGAUCGCAUGAUCUGAAAAGAAAAGAUGGUUUUUCCUAAUCCUUGGGAGAGGGGCCUGCGGCGCAUUAGCUAUUUGGGGGGGUAACGGUCUACCAAGGCGACGAUGCGUAUCCGAUCUGAGAGGGUGACCGGUCACUCUGGGACUGAAACACGGUCCAAACUCCUACGGGAGGCAGCAGGAGGGAAUUUUCCACAAGGGACAAAAUUCUGAUGGACCACCCCCGCGGGAACAAGAAGGGUUUUCGGAUUGAAAGUUUUUUUUGUCGGGAACAAACCCGUCCGGUUCAAACAGGGCGGAACUUUGAGGGACCUUGACAAAAAACCCACGGAAAAUUUGUUGCCACCACCCGGGGUAAAACAAGGGGGGCAGGCUUUGCCCGAUUUUUUGGGGCAAAAGGGGCGCGCAGGGGUCUAGAAAAUUCUGGGGUAAACCCCGGGGUUUCACCCCCGGUUCCAUUCGAAAACUGGGAACUUGGAUGGAAAAAAAGAAAGGCGAAUUUCACGUGGAACCGUGAAAUGCCUAAAAAUUUUGAAGAAACCCCAGGGCCAAGGCCGCUUUUCGGGAUGGUAUUGGACCCUAAGCCCCAAAGCCUGGGGAACAAACAGGAAUAGAAACCCCGGUAAUCCACCCCCUAAACGAAGAAUGGAAAGGGUUGGGGGUUUCGAUAACCGUCAUGGCGCAAAUAACGGAAAUAGCACUUCCGCUGGGGGAAUGUGCCCUCGAAAAGAUGAAACAUCAAGGGAAUGGCGGGGGCCCCGCACAGCGGUGGAACUGUGUGUUUAUAUUUGGAUCAACGGAAAAAAUCUAACCCGUUCUGGAAUCCGGAUGGACGUCUGUAGAGACAGAGUUUCCUAUCGGGUCAGGUGACAGGUGGGUGCAUGGGUUGUCUUCCAGCUCCGGUCGGGAAAGUUGGGUUAAAAUUCCCGCACACAAGCCCACUCUUAUCCUUUA